AGACACAUCUCGAAACACAGAGCUUCACCGUUUGUCGUUUCGUAAUCUCUCAAUCUCCAGCAAACUCUACAUCUCCCCAUCUUCAAUAACUUCUUCAUUAAUGGCCCCGUUUCGUAUCAUCUCCGUUAACCCUUCUUAUAUAAACUUCAUCAUAGAUCGAGGAAAUAUGCAUCUCAAAAAACGGCUCGAUAUGAUUCCUCUACCAGGUUUUCUUUACAGCAUCUCAUCGAAAAUCUCUCUCUGCUUCUCCAGUUGCUCAAACCGGAGCAGUGCAUCUCAUAUCAAGUCAAAGCUUUAUUGAACCGGCGCAGAUUUCAACCCAUCAUUGACAAUGUCCUCCUCCGCUGCUAGCAUGAUAUUGUUGCUCACACAGUCGUCUCCAAUCUCUGCCUUGUCUGACUUCUCAGUUCAUUAUUUGCUGUAUCGUCCGCUUUUAGGAUUCAAAGACCAUCAAGAAGAAUGGUGAAUUCGUGGGUAUCAUCACCCUCCUCCUAACCUUUUUAAAAAAAAAAAAAUCUGCAAAGUAACAUAUAAUAAAGCUUUAAGGGAUCUUUGACGGAUAUUUGCAUUUCGGGGAAACAAACUUCUGCUUCACAUAAUAAAGCUGAUCACUCCGUGUAAAACCUCGACCGAUGGAGGCGAAGAUCGAGACGUUGAGUUUCACUCUAGAGAAUCAACCUGAGUUUCAGCGAGUUAUUACAUUCUUUAUUGAAUGAACACUUUGUCAAGAAAACAAGCCGGGCGGCGACUGAACCAGUGAACCGUUCGAUAUCACCGGAGAGGCAGAUCAAAUAAUGUAGCUCUACCAUCUGCAUCACAAGAGACUUGUGGUAGAUUAGAUGUGGAAGGCAUGGACCUUCAAAGAAACUGAUUACAGGUAGUGGUAAACACAGUCGAAAGACAUAAAUAAAUUUAAAAGGAUUAAACUAAUGUUUCAGUUGUGGUGGCUAACACUAAACCUCAUUUGGGUAUCACCGUGUGUCUACGUCGGUGGUCAUACGAGUCCUCACUGCGGCAGAUCGGCUUCAGAAAGGUCUGGGGCAGAUUGUUAUUCAAGAGGCAGUGGAGAGUGAUUAUGGUGUUGACUCGGCUGUAAGAGUGAGGGUUUUACUUUCCAUAUCUGAGUUGUUUCACUCUCUUAGGCCACCAGAGCAACAAUUCAAGGAAUAGAGGUCAAGCGUGAUUAAGGGAAUGGAAACUCUCUUUAGUUGUUGGGCUGAGGGGAUAGAACUGAUACAGUGGAAAGAAACAUAUUUAGGAAGGAGCAAAGUAUCCGAUGUAUUGUCACUUAUGAACUCAUUGCAGGCUCAAACCAAACAUGGAGUGUUGAAACCAUAAUAAGGUUAUUUAAGUCUAUGAUGGAUUCUGAAACUUCUCAAGACUACUGCCUUUUGAGAACACGCUCUACACCAAAGCAAGAAAAGAGGGAGCGGAUUGCAGAGAUGAAGAUGAAAUCAUAAUUACCUUGAGGACAAGGUUUUUCAAGUGGGAAGUAACGUUAAGUUUGGUAAAUUGGCUGUCACGAACAAAAUUUCGAAGCCAAAUUAAAUUUGUAACUUUUAUGCAAGUAACGAGAGUUUUUCUUUUCCAACGGUAACAAGAGUAUUUGUAUUGAAAACUGUAUCAAAAAACAAAUUUUCUUAA
This is a long non-coding RNA of Brassica oleracea var. oleracea, 1644 nucleotides long. RefSeq lists it as uncharacterized. NCBI's taxonomy places the organism in Eukaryota, Viridiplantae, Streptophyta, Magnoliopsida, Brassicales, Brassicaceae. The record is from RefSeq and is a predicted model, not a curated record. The transcript has 4 exons.